RNAcentral lists this ribosomal RNA (467 nucleotides) under Escherichia coli. Its description in RNAcentral is "bacterial SSU rRNA". It matches the Rfam family "Bacterial small subunit ribosomal RNA", at positions 37 to 492 of the family's 1533-position model. Lineage: Bacteria; Pseudomonadati; Pseudomonadota; Gammaproteobacteria; Enterobacterales; Enterobacteriaceae. The record is from RNAcentral.
UGGCGGCAGGCCUAACACAUGCAAGUCGAACGGUAACAGGAAGACAAGCUUGCUGCUUUGCUGACGAGUGGCGGACGGGUGAGUAAUGUCUGGGAAACUGCCUGAUGGAGGGGGAUAACUACUGGAAACGGUAGCUAAUACCGCAUAACGUCGCAAGACCAAAGAGGGGGACCUUCGGGCCUCUUGCCAUCGGAUGUGCCCAGAUGGGAUUAGCUUGUAGGUGGGGUAACGGCUCACCUAGGCGACGAUCCCUAGCUGGUCUGAGAGGAUGACCAGCCACACUGGAACUGAGACACGGUCCAGACUCCUACGGGAGGCAGCAGUGGGGAAUAUUGCACAAUGGGCGCAAGCCUGAUGCAGCCAUGCCGCGUGUAUGAAGAAGGCCUUCGGGUUGUAAAGUACUUUCAGCGGGGAGGAAGGGAGUAAAGUUAAUACCUUUACUCAUUGACGUUACCCGCAGAAGAGCA